This 499-nucleotide ribosomal RNA is filed under the name uncultured bacterium. Its description in RNAcentral is "partial 16S ribosomal RNA". It matches the Rfam family "Bacterial small subunit ribosomal RNA", at positions 30 to 523 of the family's 1533-position model. The record is from RNAcentral.
AUUGAACGCUGGCGGUAUGCUUAACACAUGCAAGUCGAACGAUGAGAAAGAGCUUGCUCUUUCGAUUAGUGGCGGACGGGUGCGUAACGCGUAGGAAUCUACCUAUUGGUGGGGGACAACUUAGGGAAACUUAAGCUAAUACCGCAUACGUCCUACGGGGGAAAGAAGGGGAUCGCAAGACCUUUUGCUAAUAGAUGAGCCUGCGUAGGAUUAGCUAGUUGGUGGGGUAAAAGCUCACCAAGGCGACGAUCCUUAACUGGUUUGAGAGAAUGAACCGUCACACUAGAACUGAGACACGGUCCAGACUCCUACGGGAGGCAGCAGUGGGGAAUAUUGGACAAUGGGCGAAAGCCUGAUCCAGCAAUACCGCGUGUGUGAAGAAGGCCUUAGGGUUGUAAAGCACUUUCAAUUGGAAGGAAAACCUCGAAGCUAAUACCUUCGAGUUUGACAUUACCUUUAGAAGAAGCACCGGCUAACUCCGUGCCAGCCGCCGCCGUAA